RNAcentral lists this ribosomal RNA (408 nucleotides) under uncultured Bicosoecida. RNAcentral's name for it is "partial small subunit ribosomal RNA". It matches the Rfam family "Eukaryotic small subunit ribosomal RNA", at positions 30 to 432 of the family's 1831-position model. The record is from RNAcentral. Lineage: Eukaryota; Bigyra; Bicosoecida.
GCUUGUCUCAAAGAUUAAGCCAUGCAUGUCUAAGUAUAAAUAAUUCUAUACUGUGAAACUGCGAAUGGCUCAUUAUAUCAGUUAUAGUUUAUUUGAUAGUCCCUUACUACUUGGAUAACCGUAGUAACUCUAGAGCUAAUACAUGCGCAAAUUCCCGACUGUCGCAAGGCGGAAAGGAUGUAUUUAUUAGAUCCAACCAGCCCGGUUCGCCGGAGUCCCUGGUGAGUCAUAAUAACUGUUCGAAGCGCACGGCCUCGCGCCGGCGCUAGUUCAUUCAAAUUUCUGCCCUAUCAGCUUUCGACGGUAGUGUAGUGGACUACCGUGGCGCUAACGGGUGACGGAGAAUUAGGGUUCGGUUCCGGAGAGGGAGCCUGAGAAACGGCUACCACAUCCAAGGAAGGCAGCAGG